ACUGAUCUUGACAAUUGUGGCAUGUAUACACUAUGUAUACCAAUGAGCAUGACUAUGUUCUAAUACAUUUUUAUUUACAAAAUCAGGCAGCAGGACAGAUUUAGUACAACAGCUAAAAGUUUGCUUCUUUAUUCUAGCCAGACCGAAUAGCCAGGAGAGAAAGACAUAUCACAACUAUCAAAAUUAGGGAUGAAAAAUGUACAUAACUACAGAUUGCAUAGACUCCAUGAUCAGCCAGCUAUCCCAGCAGGCCAGGAUGCAGAAACCAUGUGCCUUCAAUGUUGAUAUACAUUUACUGAGUAACUAAUUUAUGCUUAUGGGCAAAACAAAGAUCCCUGCUCUCCUGGAACUUUGCUUUUACUCAGGGAGACAGAAUAAACAAUAUACAUAAUGCAUUUGUAGAUUACCUUAUAUUUCAUUCAGAAGUUGGUAAGAACUGUGAAGAAAAAUGAAAGUAGGACCAGGAAAGGAGAGUGGGAGUUUCAAAUGGGGUGAGGUCCAGGAAGAUCUCAUUGAGGAAGGAGCAUUUGAGCCAAGACCUGAAGGUGGUGAUGGAGCAGCCCAAGGGGGAAAAUGUCCCAAGCAGAGGGAACAGACAAAGCAUAGGACCUGAGGCAGAACAAAGGCCCCAGUGGUUGGAGCAUAGUGAAUAAGUGGGAGAAACGUGGGGAAAGACAUCAGAGUUGUACUGGGGAAGCCAAAGUUAUAGGGCCUUGUGGUCUAUGGGGCAGGAAGAUCAGCAGGAGAGGGUUGCCAACAUUGGAGGGAUGAGCCCCACGAAUAAAAGAAAAAAGAUCAUAAAAAAAAUUAAAGCCAGUAAUAGUGGGCUUGGCAGAGCUACAGUGCGGGUCACUCCAAGAACCAGUCCCUUGAGUCACAGGAUCAGGGGAGAGCUAGUGAGAUUUCUCCUGUCUCCUGCACAAGGACAUGCCCCUGAGAGUCUAAGCACACCUACCCGUCCAUUCUCCAUCUCCUGACAGGCCAUCAGGAUGACCUAGACAUGGGGUAAGGGAGGAGAAUCAGUUUAGGGGGUGCAGUUACCAGGGCCAGGGGAGGACCCAGAAUACUGGCCACACCUCCCCCUCCCCCAAAGCUGACCUUGACCCCAAAUUCCCAGAUGAGGCGCCAGAAGUCCAGCAAGGUGUGAGGCAGGGGUCCUUGCGUGGCGAUGUAGGCCUGGCUUCCGUCUGUGCCCUGGUAAAGGCUAAGUUCACUAUCGAGGCUCUGCUGUCACCUCCACCGCCUCUGCCCCUUUCCUGACUCCCAGCCUGACCCUGAUGAAGUUGCCAUUGAUGUAGUCGCCAUGUCCCUCUUCCUGAAGCAGCGAAAGGAUCACUCGUGUCUGAUCGUCUGCCAGCAGGAGGCAGCUGAGCGGGCCCGGAUGUCCUGGUGGGAAGACCGCAAGAAGACCCGGGGUAGGAAGAGAGUGAGAGGAGCCAGAUCAGAGUCCUGGGACACUGAGGCUCUCACAGGGAUAUGCGGCACGUGGCCGAUCGAAGGUCAGUUUCGUCACAUCUCACCCUAAGAGAAACAGAGGCCAGAGAGACCGGAUAAAGCGCCUCCGGCCACAUCGUCUGUAAGAACUUAUACUCCAUAUCCUCACCGCAGCGGGGCCUCUUGCCUCUUGGUUCCUCUUUUCCCAGCCCCUUCCUCCCCAGGACCACAGUAGUGGCAGUGACCCCCGGGUCGUCUGGAGCGGCCGGGCACCGCGUGAGCGCCCGCCUUCUGCGCUCAGCCACCGAUGAUACCGGGAGCGCAGCUAGGGCGCAGGGACCCGAGGGCGUGUGCGGCUCCGCCCGGGACGGCCGUGGACUUCGCCCUCUGGGACUCUGCAGGCAGAAGGUGAAGACAGGCAGGGAGAGAGUGCGACAGAGAGAGGUGCUGGGGAGAGAAAAACUGAGAGAUCUCGAAGUGAGAAGACGACCCUGGACGCCGAGAGAGAAGCAAAGUGCAGCAGGGUGCACAGAAGAACAGGCAGAGGUCCGGACUGUCCAGGGCGAGGAGCAGGAGCUCGGCAGUCCACACUCGCCCACUCACGCUGAACUCGCCGGCGAAGACCACCCCAUCCCUGCCGCCCAGUGCCUCCAGCUGCUCCAAGAAGCUCCGCGCAGCAUCCAAACUGCGGCUCAUGGCGCCGCCUGGGAGUGAGGUGCAGUCCACCUGUGGCGCUCCGCGCACUCUGCUGGGGUAGACUCCGCUGAAGGCAGCCGAGGCCCCGCCUCAGAUCCCGCCAGCCAAUGGGAGUGCGCAGCGGCAGACGGGGCGCGCCCCUCGGCCAAUGACACUCAGGGCGCGCCCCAGCCCCGCCCACAGGCUCCCGGACUUGGGGCGCGGGGCUCUUCUGGCUGCGCGUGGGGUGAAAAACUGCUCCGGCGCUACCAUUAUUUUGUCUCCGCGGGCUGACUGAGUCCCUAUGGUCAUAUGGACAUCUCCUCUAGCUUGGGCCCGAGGUCCACGCCCUAGCAGGCCGAAUGGCUGCACCCUCGCCCGGCCUCCAGGGCCCGGUCUUCUGGGAGCUCGACUGUGUCCGGAUCCCAACCAGGGUGGCGUGUCAGCUGUGAGUAAAGACGGCUGCCUAGAUCGAGCUAAAAUUCCUAACCGGGAAACCCUGUAUGGAGACCUUACCCCGCUCUGCGCUUGGGCGGAGUCCAAGGGAGGUUGGAAGAGGUUGGGAGAGGUAGCCGCGGGGGGAAAUGACACCAGGGCACCUGAGCUGUGGGAAAGACAGAAUUUCUUGAGGUUCCUUCUUUUUCUGGGUCGGGCCAGGAGGAGCUGAGGGAGCCAGGAUCAUCCUAAUUUGAGCAUCUCAAGCCGUAUAAAACUUCCAGGAAACAAAACUGAGGUUUUGGGAGUGGGUUCCAGGGGUCUAGAUGUUCUCAACGCUUUUUAAGGAUUUUUUUUUUUUUAAUCCUCAUACUGUCGUCUUCAGAAAAUGGGGAGAAGGCCAGAGGACAGCUGCUGCCCUAGGGCCACCAAGGGGAAGGCUGAAGAGUAGGGAGGAGCCAGGGGCCCCUGCCAAGGGCCGGUCAGUGUAGAUGGGCUAGCCCAUCCUUCACUUUGGAGGUAAGGAGUGUGAACCUAAUUCAUUGGGCUGUUAUCAGAAUGUUGUCACAGACAGGCAAACUGUUUCUUAAAGGACUCGGGUCUCUGGUUCUUAUCCCAGCCACUCAACUUCGACAGGCAGGGCGAAAGCAACCAUAGGCCAUAUGUAAAGGGAUGAGCAUGACUAUAUUCCAAACUUUAUUUGUGGACUUUAAAUUUUAAUUUCAUGUGUCACAGUUUUGUUUCUUUGGUGGGCUGCAGAUUGUAGGUUGCCAAUCCCGGUUUAAGUGACUAAGAAGGCAAAAAGCAGGUCAGUAGGGAUGUUUCACUUAUUGAGGGAUCAAGUCGCUGUUGACUCAGUCAUCUUUGAAAGUUCAAAGGUCAGUAGUGACCACUGAGGAUGGACGUUGUCAGUGAGUUCAUUGCAGGCCAGUGAGAGUUCCUUGGAUGUUCAUGGAGACUGUCAGUAGAUAUCAGUGACAGUUACUGGGAGGUCAGUGAGAGAUUGAAAAUAACCGGGGAGCCAUUGGGACUUGGAAUGUUAGUUUACUAAGUAAUUGAGGGGUCAAAAGAGUCAAGGAAGUUCAUUGUGGACCCCUAACCAGGGCUCUAUAGUGAAUGUCAGUGUAAUCAUAGAGAAAUCUUGGAUGGUCUCAGGACUCAGUUGUUGGACUCAGGCUGGUGAGGUAAAGAAGCAUCAGUGAACUUUUGAGAAAAUAUGGAGGUCCACUGGAGGAGUCACAGAGGUCCUUGAGCCCCUGAGUAAUCAUGGACACUAAGGGCAAUCAUUUGGGGAUAGUGGACACCAGAGUAAAGGGGGAGCAUCCACUGUGGAUCACAAAAGGGCUUUCUGAACCCUGCUAGUAGUGAAUGUCAUUGGAUGUCAACGGUCACUGGAAACUGGCAACCUGGAGAGCAGAGGCAACACUGAGGGUCAGCGAGCCCUGCGUAUCUGUGGUGGUGACUGGGAGGCAGGGCAGCUAAUGCAGCAAAUGGGUUCUGGCUAGUUGGGGGAAUCUCUGUUCCACUAGGGGCUGGGGGUGUGUUUGUCCAACAGUAUGGGGUAUCUCUGUCUAUCUGUCCCCCUGGUUUAGGGGACAUCUGUCUAUCCUUAGCACCUUUCUGAUAGGCUGGGGUCUUUCUUACUGGCAGAGUUAAGACUGUCAAGCUGAAGGUCUGGCUGGAGAGUUGACUGGGUAGGAGGAUGUCUUUCCACUGACUGUCUCUCUGUCCAGUUGUGGUGCUUUGUCUAUUCUUGAGGGAUUCUAUCUUUCGGUUGGCAGAUUAAGUCUCUCAGUUGGCAGGUGGGAGGGGUGUCUGUGUGUCUGAACACAGGUCUCUCUGGAUGCCUGGCUGGUCAUCUUCCCACCUCUCUUAAGAAUCUGUCCAUUUGUUUGGCUAUCCUGCUAUGUAAUCUGUCUCUGCCUGGGAUUUUAUCUAGAACUCUGUCUUACCAGGGGUUUGUGUGUCUGUCUGCCUGUUUGGGGAUCUAUCUGCCUAUCUGGCCUGUGAACAGAGUGGCUGAGACUUCAGUCCACCUGCCAUGCUUCCACCAUGGUUCACUGUUUCUGGCUGCACAUUCACCCACAACUGCAUACCCUCUUCCCUGCCCCACUCUUAUGUCCUCCUCUUGUUAAGCAGACUGCCAUCCUGACACUGGCCAUCCCUCCAUGUCUCUUCAACAUCCAGAUUCUCCUGGCUUGCCCUCCACUCAGCUCAGGCGUGGGGGGUGGGAAGACCACCAAGACCUCCUCCAGCAGCCCCAGCUCACCCCUCUCCAUUCUCCCAGAGAACUGCAAGCUGUGUUCUUGCAAUGGGACUCACUGCUGCUGCUGGCCUUCUUGCACAUACUCCUGGUGGCCAGCAGUGGGCGCAGCUGACACUGUCCUGCAGGUCCUGGGCACUCCCACCCACAUGCUAGUCUGCCGCCUGCUUGCCAGCUCAGAGGCCAGCAACAGAGCCGAGUGGACAGGGUGCUAGAAGGUGCUCAGGGAAGUUUUCACAAUACUGUGCAGAGCCCAGCCUAGGCUGUUACAAAGGGGAAAUCGUAACUUUUAAACAGGAGACAUCACCUUCACCUAGAAAGCUUGUGAGGAGACAGUCUGAGACUACUGAAAUCCCCACUGAAAAGUUCUUCUCUGACUUCCUUUUUUAACUAGGCCACAAGAGGGAAGAAGAAAUUUGAAAAAAUUCUCCCACUGCUGUACUCUGUUAAGAACCUUUGGUUGGGUGGGCUUACCUAUUGGCCCAGUUGGCAAACAGAAAAAUGCCACUCACUCCAGUUAUAAAUGGCAGUUUGCAUUCACCAGUGACUGGCGGUAACUGCCUUUGGGAGGGCUUUUAUUCCAGACUCUGGAAACUCUACAAGACAAACCAAUUUCCUAAAUGAAUAAAUUACAAAGAAAAAAGUUUAAGAGAACACAAAUGCUCAUAGCAGCAUUAUUCAAAACAGUCCCAAAGUGAGAAACCAACUUUCAUAAACUGAUGGAUAAAGAAAAUAUGGUGUACACUGUUAGGGUCCACAGGGGGCUCAUGGCAUAUUGUUAAAAAAAAAUAGCCCAUUGUGGUGACUUGACAAACGAGAUGAAGUCACAGUGACCACAACGCCCUGGUGGCAUGCUGUUUUUUUUUCCCUGCUGGUGCCAGUGUCUCAAGACUACAUGACCACCAGUCUCUGUGGGGUCUCUGGUCCUGGUGCACACAAGGUUUAUUUGAGCCCUCUGAGCAUCUCUGGUGAGAAUGGGGUUUGAUUCUAAACAUGAUUUUGCCCUCCUACCAUUUUACUGGGGCUUCUCUGCCCUUGGACGUGGGUUAUCUCCUCACAGCCGCUCCAGCACCUACUGUCUUGCUGGGGCUUCUCCGACCUUAGACAUGGGGUGAGUGUCUGUCUUUGAGUGUCUCCAGUGGAGGUACAGGUCAGCAGUGGACUGCUGCAGGGGCAGGGCUCUGGGUGCAGCAGACUUGGGUAUGGCAUAAGCCCUCUUGGAGGAGGUGGCCAUUAACCCCACCAUACAGCUGCCAGA
This is a long non-coding RNA of Cervus elaphus (red deer), 6065 nucleotides long. RefSeq lists it as uncharacterized. The record is from RefSeq and is a predicted model, not a curated record. The transcript is spliced from 3 exons. Lineage: Eukaryota; Metazoa; Chordata; Mammalia; Artiodactyla; Cervidae.